This 254-nucleotide ribosomal RNA is filed under the name uncultured bacterium. Its description in RNAcentral is "partial 16S ribosomal RNA". It matches the Rfam family "Bacterial small subunit ribosomal RNA", at positions 99 to 353 of the family's 1533-position model. The record is from RNAcentral.
CGGACGGGUGAGUAAUGUCUGGGAAACUGCCUGAUGGAGGGGGGAUAACUACUGGAAACGGUAGCUAAUACCGCAUAACGUCGCAAGACCAAAGAGGGGGACCUUCGGGCCUCUUGCCAUCAGAUGUGCCCAGAUGGGAUUAGCUAGUAGGUGGGGUAACGGCUCACCUAGGUGACGAUCCCUAGCUGGUCUGAGAGGAUGACCAGCCACACUGGAACUGAGACACGGUCCAGACUCCUACGGGAGGCAGCAUG